CUCCUUGCGGGCGAGUAAUUCCAUGAUCGCUAUAAGAUGCACGAGAGCGAAAGCAUUUCACUCAAUUGCGUUCAUUAAUCAAGAACGAAAGUUAGGGGAUCGAAGACGAUCAGAUACCGUCGUAGUCCUAACUAUAAACGAUGUCAACCAAGGAUUGGAUUAGUUUUAGAGAAACAGAAGUUCAAUAUCAUUGAUAUUGAGCAGACGGAUCUCGCUUCCACCUUGUUCAGAACUUAAAGAGAAAUCUUGAGUUCAUGGACUUCAGGGGGAGUAUGGUCACAAGGCUGAAACUUAAAGGAAUUGACGGAAGGGCACACCAGGAGUGGAGCCUGCGGCUUAAUUUGACUCAACACGGGAAAACUUACCAAGACCGAACAGUAUUAGGAAUGACAGAUUAAGGGUUCUUUCAUGAUUUAUUGGGUAGUGGUGCAUGGCCGUUCUUAGUUGGUGGAGUGAUUUGUCAGGUUAAUUCCGGUAACGAACGAGACUGAAGCCUAUUAAUUAGUUUCUCGCCUAUAAGACGAGAACGUCCUUCGGGAUGGGUGUUUUCAUCACUUCUUAAAGGGACUAAUAUCAAUUGUUUCUCGGUUAAUUAGUGUCUUCAUUUCGAUGGAACCUCUUUAAUCGGAAAAAAAGAUAAUGGAAGCAUUCAGCAAUAACAGGUCUGUGAUGCCCCUAUACAUCUUGGGCUGCACGCGCGCUACAAUGGAGAUACUAGCGAGCGUUUGGCGAGUGAGCUCAUUUAAUUGAUUCUGUCAAUUGAGUGAGAUAUCGUUUCGUUGUACCGAGAUCGAAACGGUAUAGGAAAACUCAAAAGAUCGUACAUGACAGGAUAAAUGAUUGGAAUUAUUUGUUAGAGGGGGUUUUCUUUUUCUU
RNAcentral lists this ribosomal RNA (876 nucleotides) under Entamoeba sp. RL3. RNAcentral describes it as "SSU rRNA". It matches the Rfam family "Eukaryotic small subunit ribosomal RNA", at positions 896 to 1622 of the family's 1831-position model. The record is from RNAcentral. Lineage: Eukaryota; Evosea; Mastigamoebida; Endamoebidae.